ACCACGAUAUGAAAUCUGCAAUAAUUUUGGUUCUGUCAACUUUUUUCCCCGGCCUACAAUCAUUUUCGUUUCCCCUCACACCACCCCUAGCUCUAUAAAUGGCCAUUGAUUUGCCGAGAAAUGCCCAGGACUUCUUCAGAACAUAUCAGCAGCAGUUAGCAUUUGGUUCAACCUCUCCCAUGGCUGAAGAGCAAACCAAGACCACCAACCUUGCCAACCAAGAGACCAGUGAGGUGAAGAACGAAGUGGAGGAGGUUGCUGCUCCAACAAAAACUCAGGAAGAAGAAGAGAAGAGUUCCACUGGCGAGGAACAGGAGGCUGCAGAAGCAAAGGCUACCUCCAAGCAGACAUUUCAGGCGACCAGUGUGUCUGUGUAAUCUAGCCUAGCAGCUAAGCCUGCCACUUUCUUAUGAUGCACCAAGUGAUAUAUAUAUAUAUAUAUGAUAAUGUGUGUGGAAUAAGUUGAGCUGCUUUAAGGUGGUCUUGUUCUGUGUCUGUGAGAAAGGUCUAUCUAAGGUGAUCUGUGGUGAGUCCAGAUGGAGGUGUGCUUGUCUUCUUGACUCGAGUGUGCUUUUUAUGUAUGAAGUAUAUCUAAUUUUGUUUUUGUGACUACGUGAGUAUAAAUUCAUCUUGGGUUGUCUCUAGGUUCCUUUUUCUUUCUUAAUUUAUCCUCCCCUUUGUGACUUAAAAAAGUGAGAGACAGAGUCGCUGUUACACGACUCGCAGUGAUAUUAUUCUGGUGGUUUGGCUUGGUUCCUAAAGUUUUAGGCAAAAUAGUAAAACUCUCUCGCUGAUCAGGUGACUACCGUUUGCUGUCUACAAUCAUAAGAUUUUGACGAUCAUAAGAUUUUGAACACACUAUACUUGCAAGUAGGCAAAGAGAAAUGCCCAAAAGAACUAGGGGAAAUUGCUUAGCGGACUAAAGGAAACAGUAACUUAGGGACUAGAAAUUAAAGAUCCAUGCAGCGGUGGAUCGGAAGUUUUUUUUUGAUCAACGGGACUUUUGUUAUAGUGGAGUCUUUAGAGGGAUGGAAAAGUAAUUUUCCAAAAGAACUACCUUAGGAGAACUUAUGAUAAAAGGGUGGUUCUAUAUACACCCCCCCUAUUGCUCAGGACACCCCCCAAAAAUUAAAAAAAAAUUAAAAUACUCUCUACACCCCCCCAUUUGCUAAGGACACCCCUAAANNNNNNNNNNNNNNNNNNNNAACGGAGGAGGAGAAGGGGGGGUGUAUGAGAAAAUUUCAAGGGCAAUAUGGUAAUUACACUAAAGGUUAGUUUGGGUAUUUUUUUUGGUUUUUGGGGGGUGUCCUGAGCAAUAGGGGGGGUGUAUAUAGAACUACCCAUGAUAAAAAUAUGUGUGAAAGUUGCACAAGAAUUUGGGUUGAGCUACUGUUUGGCAGGCUUUUUUUUAGUACGCAUGAAAGGAAGCAUGCAUGGAAGAUUGUAAUGUACCAUUUAGCCAGAGAUUCUUCUUUCCAUUGGUUAUAAAACUUGAUAAGUGAACAUUGGCAUGUUUCCUUAAAAAAAAAAAACAGAACAUUGCCUUGUUUAUCUUUAGUGGAAGGUAGAAGUGUUAGAUAUGGCCACUGGAGUUUGUGUUAGUGUCAGCCGCAAAAUUCGGAUCUUGACAUAAUCUUUGAGGCUAGAAGACUUUUAAAACAACAGAGAUAAGUUUACUAAAAUAUAUAUACGAAAAAGAAAAAAAAACUCCUCAAGAUAAAUGAGUUUCACAUGAAAAAUAAUUAUCUAACUGAUGUUUAUAUUUCGUAAAAUAUAAAGAAUAAGUUCUUUUAAAAAAGAGUUUAUUUUAUUUUUAUUUUUUAAAUGUAUUCUAGAGAAACAUGUUUUAUGGAUAUAACAAAAAAAAAAAAAAAACUGGAUGCCUCAAUCCCUCCCGGUGGUGCCCAUGAAGAUAAAUGAGGAGUAUGAAGCCUACGUAGUGGCAGCUAAAGCUUUACCACGUCCUGCAGUAUUGGAGGCCGAUUUGAUAGCCAAAUAGGCGGGCUCAUGCUACUAUGGUACACCAUACUAUCCCAAACCAGACGACAAGCCGUAUCAUACCAUAUUGAUUCGAUACUAGUAUUUGAUAUGGAUGGCAUACCGUCAUUCGGUACGUAAAAAAACUUAUGUACUAUAUCAUAUCGAUAUUGUACUAGUGUAGGGUACGGCUAAGUCCGAUACCAAGACGGUAAAUUUUUGAGAGAAAAACUAUAUAUUCUACCAUAGUUUAUUGGACACAAGCUCCUCAUCCGCAGGCUCUUACCACUUCUGUCAGAUGGAUAUUAUAUCUGGUAUUUGGCAGUCCAAGAGCCCAUAUCUCAUGUCCCACAAAUGAAGUAUAGACAAUCCAUCAUUUUGACUCAUGCGAUACAAUUGUUCAAGAACUACAGAAUUAAUUGGAGUUAUUUAUGAGUAUAAUAUAUAGGGAUCAUAUAUAGGAAUGGUCUUGGAGGAGACACGUACGUGAGAUUAGAAGUGGUUGGGGUGCUUUAUUUAUCUAAUCAUCUAGCGAAAAGUCUGCAUUUUCUCCACCCCUGUAUUAGCUCAUAGAUGUAGACGACGCUUUUGGAAAUGCCUGGUAGCCAGGGGACAGCAUGAUUUUUUUUUUUUGGUACAACAGCGGCUCACAUGCAACCCAAAUAAAACUGCUGAAGUGAUGAACCGCAAAGAGGACAACUAAUCAACAACACUAUUCACCUCUCUGUAGACAUGUGUGAUCUGAUAGGAGCCACACUCUUUCAGAAGUCUACAGAUAUCGUGGAGCAGCAGCCUUCCACUAGUAGCACAUCUCCGACCCGAACCCACUUGAUCACUUCUCGUGUCAAAAUGCAUCUUUUCUAAUAAAAUUAUGUUUCAAAUAAAAACAUCACCUCUCUCUCUCUCUCUCCUCUCUACUAUCACGAUGCCAAUUGUUUGGGCGGUCAUUGAUGGUUUCUGUGUCUUCUUUUGCACCCGAAUGCCAUCGGUAUGCAAGAUCCAAGAAAAAUUAUACACCUUGGCCGACGUCCCUGCGUUGGUCCAUACUUGGGGUUGGGCCCUUGCAUGCAUGCAGCCAACUUGGGAUGGGUGGCCCACCAUGCCUGUUUUUGUCCAAGUAUAAAUAAUUUGAUUGCAUUCUCCCUAUAGUCUCCCUCAAGGGAGCCAGGUAUAGCCAUGCCAAAACUAAGCCUUUCUUCUGUUUUCUAAAUAAGGAAGCAUUGCCCAUGCACAUGGAGUAGUAGUCUUUAGAAUUAAUUACUGGAAUUAGAAGAUAAAUUGAAGGCCAGGAAGCCAGUGUUAUUUCGGCAUAGCAUUCUAACCUAAUUGUCGUAAAACUAAAAGGACAAUGGAGAGAUGCAAUUCUUUAACCAAAACAUUAAUUGAACACUUGUUAACAAAUGUUUAUGGCCGAUUGAAUUCUUAGUACUCUCAACAACAAAUAUCCUCAAUAAAAUUAGUGGGUUUCCCUGUCUUUUUCUAUUCAAAAAAAAAAUCGGCAGCCAAUGAUUUUCCUCCUUCUGAAUCAUUUAGAGCCUGUUUGGAUUUUCCUUCUAAACUCAACAAGUCUUUAUUUUAUUUUAUCUGCACAGAAUUCGGGCUUAACCCACUCCAAAGUUAUUCCUAGAUAUUUUAUAAAUAUAUACCUAACACAUUGUAUAAUUUUGCGAUUUUGCUGAUUUUACUGUCUCAAUCCACAGACAGUACUGUCUAAUUAUCUAAACAGACUCUUAAUAUAUUUAAAAAGAUGGGAUCACAGACAGUAACUAAUUACGAGCUCACAUAUGGAUUAAACUACCUAGUAGUGAUAAUUACAGUGCAAACUUCACUCCGUAACUGCCAAUAAUAGAGUCCGCAAGAAGCUCCAUAGUAAGAAUGCAACUAUUGGUUGGGGUAUUUUUUUUCUAAGGAAAACUUUAUCAGAUGGCACCACAAUCAUGCAUCUUAUACAUAGACGUGGCCAUGUAACAUCUACAUGUCAUGCGUGGCCACCAAUCAAUGUGCAUUACCUACCACAUGAAUUACACCAACUUGGUCAUGCCAUAUGGCAUGGAGCUUUUCGGGACCAUGCUAUUCGGCCUCAUAGCAUUUCUCGAAUAAUGGGUUAUAUUCCGAAAUAUAUUCCACUUUUGAGUCUUCCUUCUCUUGCAUAAUGGGACAGCUGAGGAAGGGACCAGGAUAUCAACUCUGCACUCAAUUAUUUUGUUUGGGAUAAUGCCCAUAAAUAGCCAUUGAUUUGCCGAGAAAUCAACGAGACUUCUUCACACCAUAAUCAUUAGCAGUAAGCAUUAUAUUUAGUUCAACCUCUUCCAUGGCUGAAGGGCAAACCAAGCCCACCAACCUUGCAAACCAAGAGGCCGUUGACGUGAAGAACAAAGUGGAGGAGGUCGCGGCUCCACCAAAAACUCAGACACCAGAAGAGGAGAGUUCGGCUGGCGAGAAGCCAGAGGCAGAAGGAGCUAAGGGUCCCUCCGAGCACAAAUUUCAGACGAGUAUUUUGUCUCUGUAAUUUAGCACAGCAGCUAAGCUUGUCCAGGUUUUAUCAUGCACCAAGUGACAUGUAAUAAUGCGUGUGGAAUAAGUUGAGCUGCUCUAAGGUGGUCUUGUUCCGUGUGUCCGUGAGAAAAGGUCUAUCUGAGGUGAUCUGUGGUGAGUACAAAUGGAGGUGUGUGUUUGUCUUCUUGCCUUGAGUGUGCUUUAUGUAUGAAGUGUAUCUAAAUUUAUGUGGGGUUGUUGCCCGUUUCCUUUUUCUUCCUUUAUCAUCCCCUUUAUGACUUAAAGAGUGACUGAUAAAGUCACUGUUACACGAGACAUUUUUUUAUUCUGGUGGAUUUGGCUUGGAUCCUAAAGUUUUGAGCAAAUAAGUAGUAGACUCUUUUGCUGGACAUAUGACUGUUCUAUAUCACUGCAGUGUUAGAGACCGAGUUAGACAGCAUAGUCUCAUAGUCUCACAUUGACGAAUAAAAAAAGGUACCACAUAGGUUUAUUAGCCCGAGCCAUCCCUUCUUCCAAUAGCUUAAGUUUUUGUAUUGUUGAAUCCAUGGUAAAUAGUAUCAGAGCCGUCACAAUGUUUAGUAGUCAUAGAAGUCCCUCACUGAGUUACCGAGGUCGUGGAGGAUCCAGUAGGUUGCCUAAGAUCUAGGCCAUGAAUGUCUCUUCUCUCUUAAGUAGAAGUCAACCAUGAGGAGGACUUUAAAAUUGUCAUAAUCUCACAUUGACUAAUAAAAAAAUGUCACAUAAGUUUAUAUGAAUCCUACUCUUUUCAAGAGCUUAAGUUUUUGGAUUGUCGGACUAUGACAAUAAGUAGACUUGUGCUAAGUUCUUGAUGAGUUACAGACCUCCUAUACAAGUAGGCACUCUUUCUACCUUAGUUUCUUGGAUACCUGCAGCUCUUCGUACACACGCAUAAGCCACUUCUUUCUCAUGGAUAUCUGGUCAUUUUGCCUCUUUUUCUCUUUCCUGGACGCAUGAUCUUCCUUUCUGACCCCCUUUAUGUUGUUGGUAUAGGCAGAUAAGGGUGGCCGUGGUUUUUCUCUUUUUUUUUUUUGCUAAGGGGGGUGGCCGUGUGUUUGAUAGAGUUUUUGUAAAACUCCUCUCUUACCAAAAAAAAGGACCAACGUAGCGGAAACAAGAUUAAGCAUCAAUUUAGCUAUUGAUUUUAUACUUAAUAAUUAAAGAAUUGCUUUUAAGAUAAUAAAAGCAAAAAUUAAGAAUACUCCAGUCGCAUCCAUCUAUUUAGUAACUGGCGGUUCUGAAUUAGAUUUUUGGACAAUGCAUCCCACAAUCAUGAACAAAUAAUAGAUCUGCUCUCUGUUUUCUCAAAAAAACAAAAACAAAACUACGCCACUGUAAAUGCCUUGAUUGAGAUAAUAAUAGCCAACAUAUUUUAAGUGCAUCAUACCAGACAAUAUAAUAUACUGCUUAAAACCAGUACUUAAACCAAGAUUAAAUCUAUCAACAAGGAUUCACUGCUUGGAUCAAUAUAUAGAAAUACAAAAACGAACAGAUUUGGAUUUGAAGCAUACCAGAACACACACACCAAGAGGCCACUCCAGCUAUCAAGAGAUUUGGGGUCUCUUUCCAGUCAGCAGCCAACUGAUUUGAAAUCAAAAAAGACAUCCACAACGAAC
Molecule: long non-coding RNA, 6107 nt
Filed under: Phoenix dactylifera (date palm)
Lineage: Eukaryota; Viridiplantae; Streptophyta; Magnoliopsida; Arecales; Arecaceae
Description: long non-coding RNA (PDAC_LNC005001)
Source: RNAcentral